CGCGCCUGGUGCGCACGGUCGGGGUGCUGGCGUUCCGGCCGCUGCUGCUCGCGGUCGCCGUGGUGGGCGGCGCGAUCCGUCCCGUACGGGCGCGG
RNAcentral lists this transfer RNA (95 nucleotides) under Streptomyces melanogenes. RNAcentral describes it as "tRNA-Arg". Lineage: Bacteria; Bacillati; Actinomycetota; Actinomycetes; Kitasatosporales; Streptomycetaceae. The record is from RNAcentral.